RNAcentral lists this ribosomal RNA (395 nucleotides) under uncultured Anaplasma sp. RNAcentral's name for it is "bacterial SSU rRNA". It matches the Rfam family "Bacterial small subunit ribosomal RNA", at positions 38 to 443 of the family's 1533-position model. The record is from RNAcentral. Lineage: Bacteria; Pseudomonadati; Pseudomonadota; Alphaproteobacteria; Rickettsiales; Anaplasmataceae.
GGCGGCAAGCUUAACACAUGCAAGUCGAACGGAUUUUUAUCAUAGCUUGCUAUGAUAAAAAUUAGUGGCAGACGGGUGAGUAAUGCAUAGGAAUCUACCUAGUAGUAUGGGAUAGCCACUAGAAAUGGUGGGUAAUACUGUAUAAUCCCUGCGGGGGAAAGAUUUAUCGCUAUUAGAUGAGCCUAUGUUAGAUUAGCUAGUUGGUAGGGUAAAGGCCUACCAAGGCAGUGAUCUAUAGCUGGUCUGAGAGGAUGAUCAGCCACACUGGAACUGAGAUACGGUCCAGACUCCUACGGGAGGCAGCAGUGGGGAAUAUUGGACAAUGGGCGCAAGCCUGAUCCAGCUAUGCCGCGUGAGUGAGGAAGGCCUUAGGGUUGUAAAACUCUUUCAGUGGG